CAUGGAAACACCGGUUCUCGUGCGAUCACCGAAAUUAAGCAACAUCGAGCCUUGUCACUACCUAAGUGGGUGACCUGCUUUCGAAUACCAGGUGCUGUUAG
Non-coding RNA from Acanthosepion pharaonis, 101 nucleotides. The record is from the annotation of a GenBank genome assembly. NCBI's taxonomy places the organism in Eukaryota, Metazoa, Mollusca, Cephalopoda, Sepiida, Sepiidae.